AAGAUUCUGAAAUUUAACCAGCACAUUAGAGAUAAAAAUCAAGAUCAGCUAUGUGAACUGUCGAUGAUAAGGGAAUCAAGCGAUCCAAACAUCCUUAGCAAAAGGGCAGGAGAAGAGUAGAUGAGUAGUGGUUUCCUCUUCCUUGCAUCUUGGGCAGCAGAUGUCUGACAUUACUCCACGACUUCUUAGGAAAUAAAGAACAAAUAUAGUUUCGCCAUAUCAGGGUGAUCGUGGAUCAGCCAUUCUCUUUGAUUCGAGCAAGAUUUCUACGUCUUUGAUCAUUUAGUUGACAGUGUCAGGUGCAGACUGCACCGUGCAGUUGAUCAAUAAGCAAGAUCAUGUUUUGAUGGACUGUAAAGAAGUGAUGAGAAGAAAGAAAGUAUUACUUUAAGAAUUCAGAAAAUGAGAAGAGAACAAAAAUGGGUUCUUUGAAAAAGAAAGCCAUCAAUGCCUCUACUAAACUCAAGCACUCUCUCAAGAAGGUAAAAAGAAGAAAAAUAGAAGGCUGAGUCAGCUCGGUCUCCGUUGAAGAUGUUCGUGAUGUCGAGGAUUUUCAAGUAGUUGAAGAGUUUAGACAAGCCUGGCCAUGGACGAGUUGCUAUUAUGACUAUCACAUUAUAAGAGGUUCUUAAAGGCAAGGAAAUUGGACAUUGAGAAAGCAAAGCAAAUGUACUGAUCUCUCUGGUGGAAAGAGAAGGAGAAGGAGAAGUCUCAGAGGAGAGGAGAGGAGAGGAGAGCGCAAAGGAUGUGUCCUCUGACAGUAGAGAAGGUGCUUUGGUUCCAAAAGCAUUGGGAUUCGAUUUAAGUACAUAGAUAUACAUUGCAGCUCGUGAUAUAUAUAGGAUCUAUCUCAUUUUUAAGAAAAUAGCUCGACCACAAGAUAUUCAAGGAGCUACUGGAGUUUCAUCACAACAAGCAUGUGGGAUCAGUUUGCAAUAGCUGUCAAGGAAACUCCUGAGAGAAGAACAUGAACACCAACACAUCGAAGAACUGUUUUUUUUAAGUAUCUAAGAGUAAUCUCUUAUAAACCUAAGGAGGAAUAUUACUUUUACGCAGACCUUCAUUAACUUCUUUGUGAAGGUACAAAUUGCCAUGACAUAUUUGGUCACUGAAAUUCCAGUCAUGUUUUUAUCUCAUUGCCUCAGAAAGAGAACAAAAAACUUGAAAAUGUGCUGCGUAAAUAAGUAGUUCAUUCCCCGAAUUUUUUUUUCCAUUUUUGUCCUAGGCUUU
Brassica oleracea var. oleracea is the source of this 1230-nucleotide long non-coding RNA. RefSeq lists it as uncharacterized. The transcript is spliced from 5 exons. NCBI's taxonomy places the organism in Eukaryota, Viridiplantae, Streptophyta, Magnoliopsida, Brassicales, Brassicaceae. The record is from RefSeq and is a predicted model, not a curated record.